GGGAAUGUGACUCAGUGGCAGAGUGCUUGCCUAGCAUGCAUGAAGCCCUGGGUUUGAUUCCUCAGUACCA
This 70-nucleotide transfer RNA is filed under the name Dipodomys ordii (Ord's kangaroo rat). It matches the Rfam family "tRNA". From Rfam's summary of the family: Transfer RNA (tRNA) molecules are approximately 80 nucleotides in length. Their secondary structure includes four short double-helical elements and three loops (D, anti-codon, and T loops). Lineage: Eukaryota; Metazoa; Chordata; Mammalia; Rodentia; Heteromyidae. The record is from Rfam by way of RNAcentral.